NNCCAGCUGACGAGUCCCAAACAGGACGGAACGCGCGUCCUGGAU
Non-coding RNA from Schistosoma mattheei, 45 nucleotides. The record is from Rfam. Lineage: Eukaryota; Metazoa; Platyhelminthes; Trematoda; Strigeidida; Schistosomatidae.